RNAcentral lists this transfer RNA (79 nucleotides) under Astyanax mexicanus (Mexican tetra). It matches the Rfam family "tRNA". Rfam says of the family: Transfer RNA (tRNA) molecules are approximately 80 nucleotides in length. Their secondary structure includes four short double-helical elements and three loops (D, anti-codon, and T loops). Further hydrogen bonds mediate the characteristic L-shaped molecular structure. tRNAs have two regions of fundamental functional importance: the anti-codon, which is responsible for specific mRNA codon recognition, and the 3' end, to which the tRNAs corresponding amino acid is attached (by aminoacyl-tRNA synthetases). tRNAs cope with the degeneracy of the genetic code in two manners: having more than one tRNA (with a specific anti-codon) for a particular amino acid; and 'wobble' base-pairing, i.e. permitting non-standard base-pairing at the 3rd anti-codon position. Lineage: Eukaryota; Metazoa; Chordata; Actinopteri; Characiformes; Acestrorhamphidae. The record is from Rfam by way of RNAcentral.
GCUGUGAUGGCCGAGUGGUUAAGGCGUUGGACUCGAAAUCCAAUGGGGUUUCCCCGCGCAGGUUCAAAUCCGCUCAUCA